This 370-nucleotide ribosomal RNA is filed under the name uncultured organism. Its description in RNAcentral is "bacterial SSU rRNA". It matches the Rfam family "Bacterial small subunit ribosomal RNA", at positions 526 to 896 of the family's 1533-position model. The record is from RNAcentral.
CGCAGGGUGCGAGCGUUAAUCGGAAUUACUGGGCGUAAAGCGUGCGCAGGCGGUUUUGUAAGACAGAUGUGAAAUCCCCGGGCUCAACCUGGGACCUGCAUUUGUGACUGCAAGGCUAGAGUACGGUAGAGGGGGAUGGAAUUCCGCGUGUAGCAGUGAAACGCGUAGAUAUGCGGAGGAACACCGAUGGCGAAGGCAAUCCCCUGGACCUGUACUGACGCUCAUGCACGAAAGCGUGGGGAGCAAACAGGAUUAGAUACCCUGGUAGUCCACGCCCUAAACGAUGUCAACUGGUUGUUGGGUCUUUACUGACUCAGUAACGAAGCUAACGCGUGAAGUUGACCGCCUGGGGAGUACGGCCGCAAGGUUG